RNAcentral lists this ribosomal RNA (427 nucleotides) under uncultured bacterium. Its description in RNAcentral is "partial 16S ribosomal RNA". It matches the Rfam family "Bacterial small subunit ribosomal RNA", at positions 355 to 774 of the family's 1533-position model. The record is from RNAcentral.
UGGGGAAUUUUGCACAAUGGGCGCAAGCCUGAUGCAGCCAUGCCGCGUGUAUGAAGAAGGCCUUCGGGUUGUAAAGUACUUUCAGCGGGGAGGAAGGUGUUGAGGCUAAUAACCUCAGCAAUUGACGUUACCCGCAGAAGAAGCACCGGCUAACUCCGUGCCAGCAGCCGCGGUAAUACGGAGGGUGCAAGCGUUAAUCGGAAUUACUGGGCGUAAAGCGCACGCAGGCGGUCUGUCAAGUCGGAUGUGAAAUCCCCGGGCUCAACCUGGGAACUGCAUUCGAAACUGGCAGGCUAGAGUCUUGUAGAGGGGGGUAGAAUUCCAGGUGUAGCGGUGAAAUGCGUAGAGAUCUGGAGGAAUACCGGUGGCGAAGGCGGCCCCCUGGACAAAGACUGACGCUCAGGUGCGAAAGCGUGGGGAGCAAACA